RNAcentral lists this long non-coding RNA (12301 nucleotides) under Populus tremula. Its description in RNAcentral is "long non-coding RNA (PTRE_LNC000585)". Lineage: Eukaryota; Viridiplantae; Streptophyta; Magnoliopsida; Malpighiales; Salicaceae. The record is from RNAcentral.
CUCAAUGAUCUUAAACGAGGUACUAAGACUAUAUCCACCUGUGAAUCUUCUGUAUCGACAUACUCUAAAGGAAACAAGCAUUCGAGGAAUGUCCAUUCCAGCUGGAGUAGACCUCCUGUUACCAUUCCUGUUUCUUCACUAUGAUCCUGAGUAUUGGGGAGACAACGCAGAAGAAUUCAAACCAGAGAGAUUCUCUGAAGGAGUUUCGAAAGCAUCAAAGGAUGAAAUUGCAUUUUACCCUUUUGGUUGGGGCCCUAGAUUUUGUCUAGGCCAAAACUUUGCCUUGACUGAAGCAAAGAUGGCUCUUACUAUGAUUCUACAAAAUUUCUGGUUUGAGCUUUCACCCUCUUACACGCAUGCUCCUUGUAAUGUCAUAACUCUUCAACCACAACAUGGAGCUCCUAUUAUACUACACCAAUUAUAAGGUUUACAUAGUACUUUGGUGUCUUAGGAAGGGAAGCAACUCAGUUGAAUGAGUCACAGCAGGUUGUCCCAAUGUUUUGUUGUCAACCAGGAACAAGUUGGUGCAGUGGAGAGUGUUGUUUCUAUGCAUAAUGUUGCCAUCUGCUAUUGUAUUAAAGUGAUUAUUCCCUUUGCUUUCUUUUGGUUCUGAUGAUUGUUCAUAGUUUGUGCUUCUGAAAACACCACCUAAUGGAGAAAGAUGCUUAUUUCCUUCAAUCUUUUAUUGUUCUCUGCUGCUUUCUCAUCUUCCAUUCAAGGGAGAGAGCACAAGUAACUCCUGGAACUUGUCCUUUCCUUUUUGUACCCAGUAAAAUAGAUAGAUACAUCCCAAAGAUUUGGCUUUUUAUUACUAUGACUUGUUAUAUUAAGACUCGAAUUAAAAUGGAGAUUUUUAUGGACCUCCACUGCUCAUAAGGUGCGUGAGGAACUGUGUUUUGGGUAUCCUCUGUUUUUUUUAUGUAGCCAUGAUUGCUGUAAUUUAACCUCUUCAAUAGUUUAAUUGUCUCUGAUUUUUUAACUUUUUAGAAUUGAUACAAAUUAAAACAAUCUUUGAUUGAAUCCUAAACUUUUUUAACUUUUUUAUGUAGCCAUGAUUGCUGUAGUUUAAUUGUCUCUAAACUUGAUUUUUUUUAAUAGAAUCCUUGAUUGAAUCGAUAAACUAUUAAAAGUUAAAUUAAAUUUUUAAACGUAAUUAAUUCUUACUAUUUAUAUCUGACUUUUAAACUUUUUUUUUCAAUUAAGUUUUUAAUUAAACCCAUUAAAAAUUUAAUUAAAACCUUAAAUUUAAUUAAUUCUUCUAAUACUGGUUAAGUUGGAUUUUAACCUUCACUUUCUUUCCGGUAAGUCUUUCUUUAGCUCAUCAAAUUAAAAUAUCAUAGUAUGGUUAUUUUGGUUUGUUGCAACUUGAGGACUUAUCUCCUCGUGUCUUGAAAAUAUUUUUGUAUUUUAAAUUUUGAAAUGUUUUUAUUUUUGAAUGCAAUUAACAUGAACAGUGCAAGAAAAGCAAGGAAUCCUUGCUUUUCUUUAACUGCGUUUUCAAAGCAAAAAAUAAGUGGGAUCCAUGAACAUUACAUGACUUUUUUCCUUAACCAAAUAGUUGCAAACUGCGUUUUAAUUAAAACGCAGCCGCAACCGCAUAAACAAACGGGCUCUUAAUUUGACCCGGUGAAAAACAUAGGUUGACUCGAUGUAAAACCCAAUCGACCUGGUCCAUUUUCAUUGAAUCAAAAUAUCAUAGUCUGAUUAUUCUGGUUUGUUGCAGCUCAAGAGCUUAUCUCCUCGUAUCUUGAAAAUAUUUUUUUAUUUUUAAAUAAAAAAAUAUAUUAUUUGUAAAAAAAACUUUUUUGGGGAUCCAAAAUUGAGUUGUGACAUCAUUAUGCAAUUUUUACUCUAAAAUAAAAAAAAUUAAAAAUUAAAAAAAUUGAAAGUUCAAGGCUUUGAUCCUAGUUAUAAAAUCUAAACUAGUUCGAAAGGUUUACUCGAGACUUGGUUAACCUGAAGCAUGGACUAGAUUGAGUUAAACAAACAGAAGUUAGUUAAUUUGACCCGGUUAAAAACAUAGGUUUACUCGAGGUAAAACUCAAUCGAUCUAGUCCUAAAUUUAUUGAUGUUUUUUCAAACAAAAAAAAAAAAUCAAAACAGCACUAUUUUAGUUAUUUUUUAAAAAUUAAAUCAAUAUGAUUUGACCUUUAUGGUCUAUGACUAGAACUUUGCUCCCAGUUAAAUUUUAGAACUAUGACUUAUUAUCUUAAUGGAUAUUUGAGAGUAUGGUAAUGGUUAUUUUUUAAAGUGUUUUUUGUUCGAAAAUAUAUUAAAAUAUUUUUUUAAAAUUAUUUUUGACAUCAAAACGAUAUGAAAAAAAAGCAUCAAUAAUUUAAAGUAAAAAAAUAAAAAAUAUAUUUAAAAAAAACAUUUUUAAAACAUAAAAUUUGUUUCUAAUGGAUCUUCACUGUCGAUUUGAACAGUGAAUCUGCGCAAGGAACUCAAUUUUGGACGUACUCGGAAGGUUGGGUGAGCAGAUCGGAGAAUGGAUGGAUUCAAAUUACAAAGCUGAUGUGAGCAGCUUGGACAAUAGCAAGUGGUGGGCUCAUUUUACUGCGAGGCGAUUUUUCCAGCCUGCCUGUGGUCCUCUUGCAAGUGGAUUGUAUUCCACUAGGGGUGUGCCGCGUGUUUGCGUGUGUGAGAGGGGAAGAUUCCGGUGACUUUUCCAAGUGAAAAAUGUGUCUAUGAUAAAUCAAUAUAUAUCACUUAUGUUUUUGUCAUAAAUGAAAAAAAAUAUUUAAAAGAUAUUUGAAAUCAUAUUCAUUAAUUUAUUAACUAGAAGAAAUAUAAAUACCUCAUGCAUUUUUUUAUAUAAAUAGUGAACCAUCUCUUCUUCUUUUUUUUUUUUUUAAUUUUUAAAUCUUUUCUUUUGAUAGACUCUUCUACAGUUAAAUUUGAUAAAAUUAUAUUCUUUUUUCUUUUUCCCCCCUUCAAUUUAGCUCUCUUUUUUUUAAUUUUAAUUUUAUUAUUUUUUCUCAAUUUCAUUGUUAGAUUUUUUUUUACAAUUAUCUAGCUUGGUUUUAGACUAAUCAAGUUAAUUAGAUCGUGUCGAUACAAUGUUUACACGGUUUAAUUUUAAAUACGAGUCAAACAACGAGUCGAGUUGAGAGUUUUUUCUUUUAAUUUCAUUGAGUUUUUUAAAAAAAUAUUUCUCAAACUUUUUUUAUUGGUCAGAUGAGUUGUUUUUGGAUCGAAAAAGUAGAUUAGAUUAUGCCAAAAAAACUAUCAUAUUAUUUAAUUUUAAACCAAAAUUAAACAUAAAAUUGGGUAGGAAUGCUUAUUUCCUUCGAUCUGUUAUUGUUCUCUGCUGCUUUCUCAUCUUCCAUUCAAGGGAGAGAGUACAAGUAACUCCUGGAACUUGUCCUUUCCUUUUUGUACCCAGUAAAAUAGAUAGAUACAUCCCAAAGAUUUGGCUUUUUAUUACUAUGACUUGUUAUCUGAAGACUCAAAAGAAAAAGGAGUUUUUUAUGGACCUUCAUUGUUUAUAAGGUGAGCGAAGAACUCUGUUCUGGGUGUCCUCUGUUUUUUUUUUUUUAGCCAUGAUGAUUGCAAUAAUUUAAUCUCUUCAAGUUUUAAUUCUCUCUCAUUUUUUAACUUUUUAGAAUUGAUAUAAAUUAUAAUACAAAUAAUUAUAUUUAGAAACUUAAAAUUAAAAAAACCUUGAAUUCUAAUGCAAAACUCAUUAGCCUUGGUCCUGUGUUAGGAUCCAAGAGAUUGGAUCCUAACAAAAGACCAGUAAUAUUGGGUUAGGCAAGGCUAGAGACCCAAGAAAUUUGGGUUUGCGUCCUAACCAAACCUAAACUUCUUUGGACGUCGCUUUUUUUUUCUGCCUCAAGUUUCUUGAAUCUAAAAAAAAAUGUCUGACCCAAAAAAAAGGAAAAAAAAAUAAAAUCAAAUUACUGAUGGAUCCUUCUAGGGGCAAGACCCGUCAACUAGUCCUGCUAGAGAUAGAACACACGCUGAUGGGUCAUGCUCGCAGCAAGAGUCAAGAUUUAUAGGCUUGGUGGCGGCUGGACCUAAAGCUAUUUUAGAUCAUAUUUAUAGUUUCAUCAAAAAUCAAUAAGAGAAAAAAAAAAAAAACAAGAGAGUAAAAACUAAAAUUGAAAAUAUCUUAAAAUAUUUUUUAAAAAAUAUAUUGAGAUAAUUUUUUAAAUUUUUUUUAAAAUAUAAUUUAUAUAUAAUCACAUCAAAAUAAUAAUAAAAAUAUCUUAAUAUGAAUUAAGGAAAAUAUUAAUUUGAAGUGAAGAAAAAAUAAAUAAUAAUAAUAAUUGAUUUUACCAUUAAAAUCAAAUCUAUGCUUUUUCUAUAGCAAUAAUAUUUAUUUUAAGUUCAAUAAUAUUAAUCAAUUUAAUAAUAUUUAUAAUAUUAAUAAUAAUAUUUAACUUCUCUGCCUAAUUUUAUAUAUUUUCAAUCUUUUAAAAACAAUUUAUGCUUUCUUCGAUGAUAGUAAUAAUUGUUUUUUUUUAAAUUUGGUAAUGGCAAUAACAAUAACAAAAAAGUGAUAAUAAUUCUUAAUUUUACCCUGCAAAUCAAAUAUUUUAUUAUUUUUCAAUAUUAAAAAUAUUUUAUAUAAAUUUAUUAAUUAUUAUAUGAAUAAUAUUAAUUGUAAUACAAAUUAUAUUAUUUAUAAUAAAAAAUAAUAGUAGGUUUAAUAUUAAUGAUAUUAAUUAUAAACAAAUCAUAAUAUUUAUAUCACAAAUAAUAAUAUUUUUCAUAAUAAUAAUUAUAAUUAUAAUAAAAAUAAAAAUAUUUAAAAUACAAAUAAUAAUAAUAUUUAUCAUAUUAAUAAUAGUAUUGAACUUUAUUAACAAUAAUGAUAACAAUAAUAAUAAUAAUUGAUAUUUUUUUUCAUUUUUCUUCUUUGCUCGUGCUACACCGCGGGCUCACCUUUUAUUUUAUUAAAAUAAUAUUAUAAAAAUCUAAGACCCAAAAGCGUUGGGUUUGGCUACUACGUCGGACCCAAGAGCAUUGAGUCUAGCUGCAACACCAAACCCAAUAAUAAUAUUUAUAAUAUUAGUAAUAAUAUUUAACUUGUCUUCCAAAAGUUUUUUUUUAAUCUUUAAAAAAAUUAUGGUUUUUCUUCGAUAGUAAUAAUAGUUUUUAAAAAUUUAAUAAUAAUAAUAAUUAAUAUAUUAUUAUUAUUAUUAUUAUUAUUAACUUUACACUUCAAAUCAAAUCUAUGGUUGUUUUUCAAUAUUGAUAAUAUUUUUUUUUCAAAUUUAUUAAUAAUAUUAUUUAUGAUAAAAAUAAUAAUAUCUAUAACACAAAUAAUACUAUUUUUAAUAUUAAUACUUUUAAUUAUAAUAAAAAUACUAAUAUUUAUAACAAAAAUAAUUAAUUUUUUAGAUUAAUACUUUAAUUAUAAUAAAAAUAAUUAUAAUUAUAAUACAAAUAAUUAUAUUUAAAAACUUAGGACCCAAGACCCUUGAGUCCUAACACAGGAUCCUUAACCCUGGGUUCCGACGUCACACCCAAGAGCUUUUGGUCCUGACACAGCCCAAAACAUUGGGUCCUAAUGCAGGACUCAAGAGAUUCGGUUCUGACGAAGAAUCAAUAAUCUUUGAUCAAGCGGGUCUGUAAAGACCUAAAGGAUUUAAGUCUGCGCCUAGCCACACCUAAGAUCCUUGGGUGAGACACCCUUUCCUACCCCAAGUUUCUUGGAUUUGAAAAAGAAUGCCGAACUCAACAAGAAAGAAAACAAAAUGAAAAACAAUUAUUGGUGGAUCCUGCUAGGGGCAUGACCCAACACUGAUGGAUCAUGUUAAGGAUAGGACCCAUGGCUAAUGGGUCCAGUGGUGGCUGGACCCAAAGCUAUUUUGAAGUAAAGACCAAACUUCAUAUAUUUGUUUUGGAUGUGGUUGUACAACGACACCCAAUCUCAAUAUAUUUAAAAAUAAAAUUUAAAAAAUACAAAACAUAAAAAAUAUUAAUUUGAAGUAAAGAAAACAAUAAAAGAAUUUCAAAAAACAUUCAAUGUAUUUUUGGAACGCAAAACGAAACAUGCUUUAAUAAGGAAAUUCGACCCAACCUGAAAUGAAAAAACAAUUAUCAUCACCUAACUUUUGUAUAAUAUAAAACAAAAUCACAUUAAUUUAUUUUCUCUUUACAGUAUGAAAAAAAAAUCAAUAAGAGAAAAGAGAAAAAAUUUCAAGAGAGAAAAAAAUUAAAAUUAGAAAUAUCUUAAAAUAUUUUUUAAAAAAUAUAUUGAGAUAAUAAUUUUUAUUGUUUUAAAUCUAUUUUUUAUAUAAUCACAUAAAAAAUAAUACAAAAUAUUUUAAUAUGAAUUAAAGGAAAAAUAUUAAUUUAAAGUUAAAAAAAUAAUCUUGUUAUAAAAUUUAUUAACAAUAACAAUAACAAAAUUGUUAUUACUUAUUAUUUUUUUUUUCUUUUUUUUUUCAAAUCUGUUAUUUUUCUAUACGGGUCUGUAGACCCAGCAGCAUGGAUCUACUACCCCUGGGGGAGUCUGCAGACUCCAGACUUGGCAGAACAAAACCCAGGCGUGCCUAGCCGCGUGGUUAUGCAACCCUUGAGGGGGUCUGUAGACCCCAAACAUGACAAAAAAUACCCAAGGGCGGGUCUGAACCUCGCUCCCGACUAUGCACACCUAAGUGCGGGGUUUUGCAAACCUAGGCGAGAGGGUUUGCGACCCUAAAGGCGAGGGUCUGCAAUCGCGAGUGGGCUUGCAAACCCAUACACGCGGGUGUGCAAACCCACUUGCCUGUGUCUACAGCCAUGCACUUUGGUUAUGUCGCUCGUGUUGGUCUGCACCCACCACCUAGGUAUGCAGCCCUUGUGCGCGGUUCAACAGACCUGCUCGCCUAGGUUUGCAACCUUGUGCCCGUGCCAGUCCCAACACCAUGUUUCUGCAACUUGGAGCCUACAGUCCCACUUGGCACGCAGGCACCUAGGGCUUGACAUCCCUAGCAUCAUGUCUGCAGCCUAGGGUUUGGAGUCCCACUUAGCAAGCAGGUACCCAGGGCUUGCCAGCCCCAGCGUUAAGUGUCUGCAGCUGCACCAAAAUUAGAACUAACCCAGGGAGUGGAUCUGCAACCUCAUGAUGCUCCCACCCACCAAGCAUUAUAAUUUACAGUGAAAUCACUUAUAAUACACAAUAACUCUUCUUAACUAGUGUAAUCCACAAAUAAAAUGUUUUUAAUUCAUAAUUUCUUCUGCUGUAAUAAAAUAUUAUUAUUAUUUUUAGUUAUAGUUAAUUGAUAACUUCAGCAGCAAGACCAUUAAGUAAUACUCUAAAAGGCGUGUGAAAACUAUUGUAGCUUUCCCACACCUUUUACUAAUAUAUUUACUUAUUAAUAUAUUAUAUUAUUAUAAUUAUUAUAUUAUAAUUAUAAUUAUAAUAAUUAUUAUAUUAUAUUAUAUAACUGUUUUUUUUUAAUGAUUUUUUUGUUUGAUUUAAUUUGUUAAUGUUAAAUUUUUUUAUUUAGUUAUCAGAUUUUCAUGAUACGGAUCUCGGGUUUGAUGGGUUAACCUGAUUUGACGAGUUAACCCGGAUUUUUUUUUAAUUAUUUUUUUUUCAUUUAGUUUAGUUUGUUAAAGUUAAUUUUCUUUAUAUUUAAUUAUCAGACUUUCAUGACACGUAUCUUGGGCUUGACGAGUUAACUUGGUUUGAUGGGUUAACCCAGUUAAUUUUGGGUAAACCUGUCAUUUGCUUUCUAUUUAGUUAUCAAACUUUCAUGACGCGAAUUCCAGGUUUUACGGGAUAACUUGGUUUAGAGGGUUAACUCAAUUAAUUCAAAAAAAAAUUUCUUUUUCUUUAUUAGUUGUUUUCUUCCUGUUGAUUUUUUUUAUUUGUUUUUUUUAAUCCAUCUAUUUAAUUAUUACACUUUUAUGACACGAUCUUAUAGCCAGACCCACAUCCAAUAUUUUUGGAUCCAGUGUUGCAGCUAGGCUUACUUAAACUUGGGUUAUGCAAGUUUAAUGUUAUUAUUAAUAUUAUAGAUAUUACUUUUACGUUAGGCGUUGCAACAAAACCCAAGAUUCUUGGGUAUAGCUUUACAAAAAAAUCCAAGAUUUUUAAAUCUUUGUUUUUUUAUAUAUUUUUUUAUAAAAAAAUAUAAUUUGUGGUAUCGGUCGGGUCAUGGAACUAGUAAUCUAUUAUUAGCUGAUAUCACGUGAGAAUAAUCUUCGUGCCCUUGGGCUGCAAGGCAAAUUAGGAUUUAUAUUAUCGUUCUGUCGUUUUCACUUUUUAUUUUUUUUGUUCUUCAAAUCAACACACGUUAUUUUGGUGUUUGUUAAACAAUGGGACAAGAGAUGGGUUAUAAGUUUGUCAAGGAAAAACAAAAGGUCGACGUCAUUGGAAUCAAUAAAAUAAGUAACCAUUUGGGAACGAUAUUGAAAUAUGUUUUUAUAAAAUUUAAAUAUUUUUUUAAUUAAAAUUUAAUAUAAUUUAUAUAUUUUCGUUUUGAUAUGUUAUAUCAAAAAUAAUUUUUUAAAAAUAAAAAAAUAUCAUUAACAUACAUUUUAACAUAAAAAAUUAUUUAAAAAAAAAAUACUAUCAUACAGCCAACCAUACUCUACAGGAGCUAACAAAAACCCUAUAAAUUCUUCACCAAUCGGGUCUCAUUUCCAUCAAAUUUCAUCGAUCCCAAGUUUGCUGAAGCAGCAGUUUCCAACCAAAAAACAAAAAUGGAAGAUUUUAUUUUAAGAGGGUUUCUGUCCUCUUCUUUACUUCUAUCUCUCUAUGUUGUGUUUAGAGUUAACCUGGUUUGAAGGGUUAACUCAGUUAAUUUAUAUUUUUUUUUAUUAGUUAUUUUCUUCAUGCUGGUUUUUUUCCUAUAAUUUUUUUUUUCUUAAUUUAUUUAAUUAUCAUACUUUUAUGAUAUGAUCUUGCAGCUAGAUCCACAUUCAAGGUUAUUGAGUCUGGUAUUGCAGCCAAAUCCAUUUAAACUUGAAUCAUAUAAGUUUAAUAUUAUUAUUAAUAUUAUAAAUAUUAUUUUUAGGUCAGAUAUUGCAAUCAAAUCUAAGAUUCUUGGGUAUAGUUUUACAAAAAUAUCUAAUACUUUUAAAUUUUAUUUUUUUAUAUAGAAAAAUUUAUCCAUAGCAUCGCGGAAGUUAUCUAAGUAGUACUCUAUUAUUAGCGGAUAUGACGUGAGAAUAAUCUUCGGAGCCUCGGGCUGCAAGGCAUGUCAGGAUUUAUAUUCCCGUUCUGUCGUUUUCAUUUUUUUGUUUUUUUUGUACUUGAAAUCAACACACGUGAUUUUGGUGUUUGUGAAACAACGAGUCAAGAGAUGGGUUAAGUUUGUCAAGAUAAAACAAAAGGCUGUCGUGGGCUUGUGGUGUGAUCUUCUUUUUUUCUCCUUGGAUUCUUGAUGCUUUUUAGGUGGUGUUUUAUAAUAAUGAUUAUUUUUUAAUAUAUGUUUUAUUUAAAAAUAUAUUAAAAUAAAUUUUUUAUUUUAAAAAAUUAUUUUUAACAUUAAUUAAUCAAAAUAAUAUAAAAAUAUUAAAUAAAAAAAUUAAAAUUUUUAUAAAAACAUUAUAUUUUUAAAAGUCACUGACCAAUAAUUCUACAUUGACAGGUCAGAAUUAUUUGUACUAAAACAUCAAAGUUAUCACAUCAACAUAAUUAAAAAUUGUUGAAAAAAUUCAUUUUAAAAUAAUUUAAUUUUUUUAUAUAAAAAACAUGUAUUAAUCAUGUAAUUCAUUGGCUAACAGCAAGUGUUUUUUUUUUUUUUUUCUAGAUUUUGAUAUCUAAAAGUUUACUAGAUCCUAACUAAUCAAAUCAAACUAUAUUAAUUUAAUAAAAAAUAAUUAUAAUUUAAUUAUAAUAUACUCAAUUUACCAUACUCCAAGUCAAACACUUACUUAAUAAUAAUAAACGUCCAAUCACUUGACUAAUCACCAUUUUCGGUUGGUGAUAAAUGUGUUUGUUUGAAAAUGUGUUUAGGAUAUUUUUUAAAAUAUUUUUAAUUAAAAAAUAUAUUAAAUGAUAUUUUUUUAUUUUUAAAAAAUUAAUUUUUAUUUUAAUGCAUUAAAAUGAUGUGAAAAAUCAAAAAUAUAUUAAUUUUUUUAAAAAAAUAACAGUGAGAUAGCACUAUAAAUUUCAUCCACCCCAGGUAUGCUGAAGCAGCAGUUUCCAACCAAACAACCAAAAAUGGAAGAUUUUAUUUUCAGAGGGUUUCUGUCCUCUUCUUUACUUCUAUCUCUCUAUGUUGUGUUUAGAGUUGCUCACACUUUUUGGCUAAAGCCGAGAAGCCAAGAGAAGCGUUUGAGGAAGCAAGGGAUCAGAGGCACUUCUUACAAGCUUUUGAAUGGUGAUAUGAAAGAGUUUGCAAGGUCUUCUAAAGAAGCUAGGUCCAGGCCCAUUGCUCUAAAUCAAGAAAUUGCACCACGUGUCCUUCCAUUCUUUUAUAAAAUGGUGCAAAUUUACGGUGAGCAGCAGCUUCACAGGCUAUCUCAUUUUUUCAGAUUUUUUUUUAUUAUUUUUAGGAAUUUCUGUUCAUACAUAUACUUGGUAAUCGGUAUUAUCCUGAUUUGUAAUGCGAACGAGAACAGGAAAGGUCUCCCUGUGUUGGAUGGGGACAAGACCUAGCCUGCUAUUAGCUGAUCCAGAGCUGGUGAGGUUGGUGUUAACAGACACGAGUGGUCACAUUAUAAAGCAACCGCGAAAUGCCCUUGUGGGUCUGUUAAACCUGGGAGUCUCAACCUUGGAAGGAGACAAAUGGGCCAAGCGCAGAAGGUUGAUGACACCUGCCUUCCACGCUGAGAGAUUAAGGGUAACUUCACCUACCUGAAUCUUGCAAGUUUAAACAUUCUUAAGAAAUUUUUACAGCUUGCAUUUGAAAGUUUAGAAUCUAUUCGGACUUCUUUACAUUUUAUCAAUUGACCAAUGUGCUGCAUAAGCAAAAACUGAUCCAGAAAACAUUCAUCAAUGUAAGCAUAUGUCAAGAAGGAGUGAUAGAGAGUUUCAUAAAUCAUAUUUUGGAACCUUUGCUUUAGCUAUUGGAUUGAGGUAGUUCUAUGACAUAGUAUUUUAUGGAUUAAGAUGGUUCUUUUACAAGUUGAGGAGAUGGUACAGCUAUACACACCAAAACGGUACUGUAGUCAAACUUGAGAUGUUUUUAUAAGGAUUUUCGGAUUCCAGAUCUUUAGCCUUCAAUCACUAGCUUUUUUAACUUUUGAAUUGAAUCAACGUUUGAUAUGGUAUUAGAGUCUAUAUGCUGAUUAGUGCUGGUAUGUGAACAGGGGAUGAUCCCAGCAUUUUCAGCCUGCUGUUGUGAUCUGGUUCAGCGAUGGAAGAAAUUAGCAGGUCCUCAGGGAUCAUGUGAAUUGGAUGUUGCACGCGAAUUUAAUAUUCUUGCAAGUGAUGUUAUAGCUCGAGCAGCCUUUGGAAGCAGCUAUGAAGAGGGAAAGAAAAUAUUUGAUCUUCAAAAGGAUCAAGUUAUUUUGGCCCUUGAAGCUUUUUAUUCCAUUUACUUCCCUGGUUUGAGGUACAUAUUAAUGCCAUUUAUCUCUUGCAAAUUCAAGCUUCUCUUGGUGCUUGUUAAAAUUUUUAACCAAUGUCUGAUAAUACAUUAAAUCCCAGUUAACAACAUUUCAUUUCUUUGCGCUUCUCCAACAGAUUCAUACCCUCUAAAAAGAACAAGAAGAGAUACAGUAUAGACAGAGAGAUAAAAGCAGCAUUGAGAAAUAUUAUCCAUAAGAAGGAGCGGGCCAUGCAAAAUGGAGACUCAGGCGAUGCUGACUUGCUAGGCUUGCUUUUACAGGGCAGGGAUGAUGCUGAUAAUGACAUGAAAAUUGAAGAUGUAAUCGAGGAAUGCAAGUUGUUCUUCUUUGCAGGCCAAGAGACCACAGCAAACUUACUCACUUGGACAUUGAUAGUUCUAUCUAUGCAUCCAGUCUGGCAAGAGAAAGCAAGAGAAGAAGUUUUGCAGAUUUGUGGCAAGAGAACACCUGAUAUCGAUAGUAAAAACAACUCAGAAUUGUAAGUACUUCUUUUGUUCACGCAUUAAUUUACAUGUUUUGUAGCUACAGUCAACUCCUUGGAAACGAUUAUAAAUCCUUGGUUUAUGAAACUAAAUAAAUUUGCAGGUCUCAAUGAUCUUAAACGAGGUACUAAGACUAUAUCCACCUGUGAAUCUUCUGUAUCGACAUACUCUAAAGGAAACAAGCAUUCGAGGAAUGUCCAUUCCAGCUGGGUAGACCUCCUGUUACCAUUCCUGUUUCUUCACUAUGAUCCUGAGUAUUGGGGAGACAACGCAGAAGAAUUCAAACCAGAGAGAUUCUCUGAAGGAGUUUCGAAAGCAUCAAAGGAUGAAAUUGCAUUUUACCCUUUUGGUUGGGG